This 498-nucleotide ribosomal RNA is filed under the name uncultured bacterium. Its description in RNAcentral is "partial 16S ribosomal RNA". It matches the Rfam family "Bacterial small subunit ribosomal RNA", at positions 28 to 507 of the family's 1533-position model. The record is from RNAcentral.
GAUGAACGCUGGCGGCGUGCCUAAUACAUGCAAGUCGAGCGAACAAAGGUGGUGCUUGUUCCUAUUGGGUUAGCAGCGAAUGGGUGAGUAACGCGUGGGGAAUCUACCUUUGAGACGGGGAUAACAUCUGGAAACCAAAGCUAAUACCGCAUAAAAAAUUUAAACACAUGGUUCAAUAUUGAAAGACGGUAUUGCUUUCACUUAUAGUGGUAUCCGCUUUGAAUUACCUAGUUGGGAAGGUAAAGGCUUACCAAGGCGAUGAUCCAUAGCCGACCUGAGAGGGUGAUCGGCCACAUUGGGACUGAGACACGGCCCAAACUCCUACGGGAGGCAGCAGUAGGGAAUCUUCGGCAAUGGACGAAAGUCUGACCGAACAACGCCGCGUGAGUGAAGAAGGUUUUCGGAUCGGAAAACUCUUUUGGUAGGGAAGAACGUUGGUGAGAGGGGAAAGCGCAUCAAGUGACGGUAACUACCCAGAAAGAGACGGCUAACUACGUG